Molecule: ribosomal RNA, 667 nt
Filed under: uncultured Lachnospiraceae bacterium
Lineage: Bacteria; Bacillati; Bacillota; Clostridia; Lachnospirales; Lachnospiraceae
Description: bacterial SSU rRNA
Rfam family: Bacterial small subunit ribosomal RNA
Source: RNAcentral
UGCAAGUCGAACGAGAAUCUGUGGAUCGAGGAUUCGUCCAAGUGAAGCAGAGGACAGUGGCGGACGGGUGAGUAACGCGUGAGGAACCUGCCUUUCAGAGGGGGACAACAGUUGGAAACGACUGCUAAUACCGCAUGAUACAUUUGGGUGGCAUCAUCUGAAUGUCAAAGAUUUAUCGCUGAAAGAUGGCCUCGCGUCUGAUUAGCUGGUUGGUGAGGUAACGGCCCACCAAGGCGACAAUCAGUAGCCGGACUGAGAGGUUGACCGGCCACAUUGGGACUGAGAUACGGCCCAGACUCCUACGGGAGGCAGCAGUGGGGAAUAUUGGGCAAUGGGCGCAAGCCUGACCCAGCAACGCCGCGUGAAGGAAGAAGGCUUUCGGGUUGUAAACUUCUUUUAAGAGGGAAGAGCAGAAGACUGUACCUCUAGAAUAAGCCACGGCUAACUACGUGCCAGCAGCCGCGGUAAUACGUAGGUGGCAAGCGUUGUCCGGAUUUACUGGGUGUAAAGGGCGUGCAGCCGGGAAUGCAAGUCAGAUGUGAAAUCCAUGGGCUUAACCCAUGAACUGCAUUUGAAACUGUAUUUCUUGAGUACUGGAGAGGCAAUCGGAAUUCCUAGUGUAGCGGUGAAAUGCGUAGAUAUUAGGAGGAACACCAGUGGCGAAGGC